UUUGGUAAUGGGCGCAAGCCUGACCAGCCAUGCCGCGUGAAGGAUGACGGCCCUAUGGGUUGUAAACUUCUUUUGUACGGGAAGAAACACUCCGACGUGUCGGAGCUUGACGGUACCGUGCGAAUAAGCAUCGGCUAACUCCGUGCCAGCAGCCGCGGUAAUACNGGAGGAUGCAAGCGUUAUCCGGAUUUAUUGGGUUUAAAGGGUACGUAGGCGGAGAAUUAAGUCAGUGGUGAAAUCCUGCAGCUUAACUGUGGAACUGUCAUUGAUACUGGUUUUCUUGAAUGUAGUUGAGGUAGGCGGAAUGUGUAAUGUAGCGGUGAAAUGCUUAGAUAUUACACAGAACACCGAUUGCGAAGGCAGCUUACCAAGCUAUGAUUGACGCUGAGGUACGAAAGCGUGGGGAGCGAACAGGAUUAGAUACCCUGGUAGUCCACGCUGUAAACUAUGAUCACUCGUUGUUGGCAAUACAUCGUCAGCGACUGAGCGAAAGCAUUAAGUGAUCCACCUGGGGAGUACGAUCGCAAGAUUGAAACUCAAAAAAAUUGACGGA
RNAcentral lists this ribosomal RNA (553 nucleotides) under uncultured bacterium. RNAcentral's name for it is "bacterial SSU rRNA". It matches the Rfam family "Bacterial small subunit ribosomal RNA", at positions 364 to 917 of the family's 1533-position model. The record is from RNAcentral.